This 281-nucleotide long non-coding RNA is filed under the name Phoenix dactylifera (date palm). RNAcentral describes it as "long non-coding RNA (PDAC_LNC008224)". The record is from RNAcentral. Lineage: Eukaryota; Viridiplantae; Streptophyta; Magnoliopsida; Arecales; Arecaceae.
CAGGGUGGUUCUAUAUACACCCCCCCUAUUGCUCAGGACACCCCCCAAAAAUUAAAAAAAAAUUAAAUACUCUCUACACCCCCCCAUUUGCUAAGGACACCCCUAAAAAAUUAAAAUUCCUAAAUUACCCCCCACCCUCCCCACCCCCUCACCUAAAUUGCUCUCUACACCCCCUCGCCUCAAGCACCUCGCCGGCGGCCAAACCCCCUCCGUCUCCCUUUGAACUGUUCCGCCCAAAGCACCUCGCCAACGCCCAAAACCCUCCCGUUCCCCCUUCUCCC